This 789-nucleotide long non-coding RNA is filed under the name Canis lupus dingo (dingo). RNAcentral describes it as "lncRNA (ENSCAFG00020011333.1)". The record is from RNAcentral. Lineage: Eukaryota; Metazoa; Chordata; Mammalia; Carnivora; Canidae.
ACUACCAAUGCAAGAGAAUCUCGCCAUUUUAGCAGAGAGAAGAGCCAAAUCUCAGUUGUACACCAGUGUAGUAGUAAAACCCACUUCUCCCAAUCUCAGUCCGUCCUGACCACGCCUGCAAUCCCUUUUCAAAAAGUCUGCUUCUGGGGCGCCUUGGGUGGCUCAGCGGUGGAAGGUCUGCCUUUGGCUCAGGGCCUGAUCCCAAGGGUCCUGGGAUCCAGACCCACAUCGGGCUCCCCACGUGGAGCCUACUUCUUCCCCUGCCUGUGUCUCUGCCUCUCUCUCUCUCUCUCUGUGUGUGUGUCUCUCUGUCUGUCUCUCUCUUUCUCUGUCUCUGCCUCACUGUGUCUCUGUGUCUGUCUCUCUGUCUCUGUCUCUCUUUAUCUCUCUGCCCCUUUUCUCUGUCUCUUUGUCUCUCUCUCCCCUUCUCUCUGUCUCUCUCUCUUUCUCUGUCUCUGCCUCUCUCUGUGUCUGUCUCUCUGUGUCUCUCUGCCUCUCUUUUCUCUGUCUCUCUCUCUUUGUCUCUCUCUCCCCUUCUCUCUGUCUCUGUCUCUGCCUCUGUUUAUCUCUCUGCCUCUCUUUUCUCUGUGUCUCUCUCCCCUUCUGUCUCUGUCUCUCUCUAUCUCUCUGUGUCUCUGUCUCUGUGCCUCUGUCUCUCUUUGUCUCUCUCUUUCUCUGUCUUUCUCUCUGUCUCUCUCUGUCUCUGUUACUCUCUCUCCUUCUCUCUGUCUCUCUCCCAUGAAUACAUAAAUAAAAUCCAAAAAAAUAAAAAACAGAAAACAAAAAACA